RNAcentral lists this ribosomal RNA (460 nucleotides) under uncultured bacterium. RNAcentral describes it as "partial 16S ribosomal RNA". It matches the Rfam family "Bacterial small subunit ribosomal RNA", at positions 338 to 795 of the family's 1533-position model. The record is from RNAcentral.
CCUACGGGAGGCAGCAGUGAGGAAUAUUGGUCAAUGGCCGGAAGGCUGAACCAGCCAUGCCGCGUGAAGGUCAGUGCCCUAUGGGCGUUAAACUUCUUUUGUGCGGGAGCAAUAAUGGUCACGUGUGGCCAGACGAGAGUACCGUACGAAUAAGCAUCGGCUAACUCCGUGCCAGCAGCCGCGGUAAUACGGGGGAUGCAAGCGUUAUCCGGGUUUAUUGGGUUUAAAGGGUGCGUAGGCUGGGUGGUAAGUCAGCGGUGAAAUGCCCCCGCUCAACGGGGUGAAGUGCCAUUGAUACUGCCUGGCUGGAAUACAGAUGCCGUGGGAGGAAUGUGUGGUGUAGCGGUGAAAUGCAUAGAUAUCACACAGAACACCGAUUGCGAAGGCAUCUCACGAAUCCGCGAUUGACGCUGAUGCACGAAAGCGUGGGUAUCAAACAGGAUUAGAUACCCGGGUAGUC